UUUAAACUGGCCCGAAGCAUUGUGUCAUAAAAUCAAUAACAAGCCACAGAAAUGAAACUCGUCCUAACGGGAACGCACACGUGAGCCAACGCUCAUGAUCGUUUGCGAGCAUGUCUCCUCCGUCCCUUCCCAGCUCACGCGCACACAAGUGUCCGUUUGCAAGAUAAUCAGUGACACAGACACUUCCUCAUUCAAAUGUCCACACACCAAGGACUAAGGCAAUGCUAAAAUCAGAGACACUGCAAGUGACGCUGCACAGGGAA
This is a long non-coding RNA of Syngnathus acus (greater pipefish), 263 nucleotides long. RefSeq lists it as uncharacterized. NCBI's taxonomy places the organism in Eukaryota, Metazoa, Chordata, Actinopteri, Syngnathiformes, Syngnathidae. The record is from RefSeq and is a predicted model, not a curated record. The transcript is spliced from 2 exons.